AACAGUCCUUGCUUUUGUUCCGCUUUCUGAAGCUGGUAUCCUGGGGAGGAGGAGCCACCAAGUGUGAGUGACUUGUUAGUUUUUGUCCAGAGAAGGUAGCCUUCAUCACUGAGGGAAACAUUGAGACCUUUCUCUGAUCUGUCACUGCGACAGAAAUGUUCUUGGAAGUAAUGAAUGAAGUGCAUAAAGACAAAUGAAGUUCAACAUUUUUUUGCAUCAAUAUUGUUUCAUAUUUAGGAAAAAAAUGAGCAAUGGGCUACAUGAGGGCUGAAGGGUACAGGAGACACUCGCAUUACCUGCUCACAGCCCCUCAGAGUAUUUGCUUAUGACUAUGCAAGAGAAGAGUCUGGAUGUGAGGUCAUGGAAGCUCCUCACAAAGCUGAGGAUCCUUGCAGAGGCCACACUUUCCUGACUGAUUAGUCAAUGACCAUGGGCUCCUGUCUCUGCCAGACCCCUUAGACUGUGUUCAC
This 470-nucleotide long non-coding RNA is filed under the name Coturnix japonica (Japanese quail). Its description in RNAcentral is "lncRNA (ENSCJPG00005009251.1)". The record is from RNAcentral. Lineage: Eukaryota; Metazoa; Chordata; Aves; Galliformes; Phasianidae.